Molecule: ribosomal RNA, 381 nt
Filed under: uncultured bacterium
Lineage: Bacteria
Description: bacterial SSU rRNA
Rfam family: Bacterial small subunit ribosomal RNA
Source: RNAcentral
AAUCAACGCUGGCGGCGUGCCUCAGACAUGCAAGUCGAACGAUUAAAGCUCCCUUCGGGGAGUGCAUAAAGUGGCGCACGGGUGAGUAACACGUAAGUAAUCUACCUUCGAGUGGGGAAUAACGUUCGGAACGAACGCUAAUACCGCAUAAUGCAGCGGCAUCUAUGAUGACAGUUGUUAAAGAUUUAUCGCUUGAAGAGGAGCUUGCGGCAGAUUAGCAGUUGGUAAGGUAAUGGCUUACCAAGGCUACGAUCUGUAUCCGGUCUAAGAGGACGGUCGGACACACUGACACUGAAUAACGGGUCAGACUCCUACGGGAGGCAGCAGUCGGGAAUUUUGGGCAAUGGGCGAAAGCCUGACCCAGCAACGCCGCGUGAAGGA